Molecule: ribosomal RNA, 270 nt
Filed under: uncultured prokaryote
Description: partial 16S ribosomal RNA
Rfam family: Bacterial small subunit ribosomal RNA
Source: RNAcentral
UACGUAGGGGGCGAGCGUUGUCCGGAAUUAUUGGGCGUAAAGGGUUCGUAGGCGGUAAUACAUGUCAGAUGUGAAAUCUUGUGGCUUAACCACAUCAAGCAUCUGAAACUGUAUAACUUGAGUGGAGGAGAGGUAAGUGGAAUUCCUAGUGUAGCGGUGAAAUGCGUAGAUAUUAGGAAGAAUACCAGUAGCGAAGGCGACUUACUGGCCUCUAACUGACUCUGAUGAACGAAAGCGUGGGUAGCAAACAGGAUUAGAUACCCCCGUAGU